CAAUAGCGUAUAUUAAAGUUGUUGCAGUUAAAAAGCUCGUAGUUGAACCUUGGGCCUGGCUGGCCGGUCUGCCUCACCGCAUGCACUGGUCCGGCCGGGCCUUUCCCUCUGGGGAUCCGCAUGCCCUUCACUGGGUGUGUCGGGGAACCAGGACUUUUACUGUGAAAAAAUUAGAGUGUUCAAAGCAGGCCUAUGCUCGAAUACAUUAGCAUGGAAUAAUAGAAUAGGACGUUGCGGUUCUAUUUUGUUGGUUUCUAGGACCGCCGUAAUGAUUAAUAGGGACAGUCGGGGGCGUCAGUAUUCAAUCGUCAGAGGUGAAAUUCUUGGAUCGAUUGAAGACUAACUACUGCGAAAGCAUUUACCAAGGAUGUUUUCAUUAA
Molecule: ribosomal RNA, 380 nt
Filed under: uncultured eukaryote
Lineage: Eukaryota
Description: partial 18S ribosomal RNA
Rfam family: Eukaryotic small subunit ribosomal RNA
Source: RNAcentral